UAUCUUAUUUCUGUUAAUGAAGAACAACCUAAGGCUGAGCAACCUACCUCAUUCCUUGAUAACAUAUAUUUUCUUAAUUAUUAUUAAACACUCCCAUGCCUUAAAAUAGAUUUUUCUCCUCAUGUCUGUACAGAAUGCAGAUGUCCUUUACCAUUAAAUGUAUCCACAUAGGUAGGAGAUAGCUCUACAAGUCUGAAUAAAAUGCCAUUCUUUCUCCUUCCUAACAAGGAUCUAAGCCCUGCUGCUUUACCCCCGUUGGAGACUGUCCUGCCAGACCGAUUCGUUCCCACAGUAGUCCUCAACAAGGCAAAAGAGUUGGUCAUUGAAACGAUGAUUAGUAAAGACAAGAUACAACAUGGAUCGUUUGAGUGUCAACCUUGAACCGGUCGAAGCCUUCGCUGAUUGGAAGAUUCCCAUAAACAGUGGAUAAUUUCCUCCAAUCGCCCUGCGACAACGGCUAUGGUUGGGCUUGCAGACAAGACUACACGCUCUUUAAGAGAACGGUUCCCAUGGUCGCCUCACGGACGAUCUGAAGGUUGGCGGAGAUUACGGCAUCGAGCUCGUGGGCGAAGCGGUGGAGGCCGACGCGAGCGUGAAUCCCGAGUUGUAUGGCGAUCUCAACACCUGAGGCCACGAUUUGCUUAGUCAGUGCCGUGACCCGGUGCAAAGACACAAAGUAUGAUGAUGGAUUGAAAUGAAUAAAGAACUAAUGAAAAAAUAUGUUGACUACUAAAUUAAAACAGUAUAAGCAUAUAACCCACAAGUAAAAAAACAAACACUCGGGUUUCCCUUCCACCAUUUUUAGCAGAGAUAUAUUGAGAUGAAAAGGGUAUAAAAUGCAUGUACGCCAUAACGUACUCCUUUUACUUAAAACCAAGUGUUUCAUCACACACCUGUUUAAUUGUUUUCAAUACUGUUUUACUGUACUAUACAGUUUGUAU
This is a long non-coding RNA of Penaeus chinensis, 941 nucleotides long. RefSeq lists it as uncharacterized. The record is from RefSeq and is a predicted model, not a curated record. NCBI's taxonomy places the organism in Eukaryota, Metazoa, Arthropoda, Malacostraca, Decapoda, Penaeidae. The transcript is spliced from 3 exons.